UGGUUCUGGCAUCGAUGAAGAACGCAGCGAAAUGCGAUAAGUAGUGUGAAUUGCAGAAUUCAGUGAAUCAUCGAAUCUUUGAACGCACAUUGCGCCUGUCGGUAUUCCGUCAGGCAUGCCUGUCCGAGCGUUAGUACUCGAGAAUUCAGCUUUCAGUAGCUGAUGUUGGGCCCUCAUCCUCUCUGAGCACCAGAAGAGGGGUCCCUAAAACCAUUGUUUAGACAUGAUAGUCGCUAGAGCGUUGCAGUACAGUCGCUUCUGCCGAACUCUCGUGUUUCUAAACUAAAAACUCCGAAUGGAAAACAAUUUUUCCUCGGAUCAGGCAAGGAUACCCGCUGA
Molecule: unclassified non-coding RNA, 339 nt
Filed under: uncultured fungus
Lineage: Eukaryota; Fungi
Description: partial contains 5.8S ribosomal RNA and internal transcribed spacer 2
Rfam family: 5.8S ribosomal RNA (bases 1-133)
Source: RNAcentral